This 406-nucleotide ribosomal RNA is filed under the name uncultured bacterium. RNAcentral describes it as "partial 16S ribosomal RNA". It matches the Rfam family "Bacterial small subunit ribosomal RNA", at positions 30 to 526 of the family's 1533-position model. The record is from RNAcentral.
AUUGAACGCUGGCGGCAGGCCUAACACAUGCAAGUCGAACGAGUGGCGGACGGGUGAGUAAUGUCUGGGAAACUGCCUGAUGGCGGGGGAUAACUACUGGAAACGGUAGCUAAUACCGCAUACCAUCAGAUGUGCCCAGAUGGGAUUAGCUAGUUGGUGGGGUAACAGCGGACCAAGGCGAAGAUCCCUAGCUGGUCUGACAGGAUGACCGGCCACACUGGAACGGAGACACGGUCCAGACUCCUACGGGAGGCAGCAGUGGGGAAUAUUGCACAAUGGGCGCAAGCCUGAUGCAGCCAUGCCGCGUGUAUGAAGAAGGCCUUCGGGUUGUAAAGUACUUUCAGCGGGGAGGCGUUACCCGCAGAAGAAGCACCGGCUAACUCCGUGCCAGCAGCCGCGGUAAUAC